This is a long non-coding RNA of Equus asinus (donkey), 2762 nucleotides long. The record is from Ensembl. NCBI's taxonomy places the organism in Eukaryota, Metazoa, Chordata, Mammalia, Perissodactyla, Equidae.
UCUUGAGUGGAUUGGUGAUGGUUCCACAUAGGGUGCUUGGGACUACGUCAGGAUAAAAUCGCCAGCCUUUGUAAGCCAGGGGAUGGGGUCAGAGGGAGCCUGGGUUUCCGAAAAAUGGCAGCCUUCUGCCCAGGCCAAGGACCGAUUUGGGUCUUUCCUUAUUUCCUCUGGUGAUGGGAACCGCUCUUGGAUGUUUCUAACGGUUAGACGGUUACUCAAGCUAUUUUGCUUUUUUUUUUUUUUCUUUUAGUAGAAUCUGGGGCAGUUAAUCACUUUACAUUCAUUACUCUUUUGUAAUGUAGAGAGCUUUCUCUGUGAAAUGCAGCGCAAUUUUCACAGAAGCCAUAGGAAACUUCCCUCCCGCGUCCCUUCAUAAGAUCAAACAGCCAGAAGAACCCACAGCAGCUAGAGGAAAUAUCUUCCUCCCCUACAGUCUCUAUCCCUCCUUGACUACCUUCAGUGCUUUACGACAUGAGCACUGGCUUUCGUCUGGUUCAGGUAUUCAAAUUGGCUCCAAGAUAUUUUUUGAAGGGAAUGUUGACCUGCCUGCAGGAUCUCUAACUCCCACACCCAUCUCUCAUCUCAGAAGAUGGAGGAGGAAAAGCAUAAAUGCUUUACAGAGAGCUCUCCUUGGCCCUGGGAACCUGCUGCAUGUGAUGAGGAGGUGUCCCAGUGGUGAUUCCCUGCCAUGACGGUUGUCCCCAGAACCAGUGCUGGAGUUCUGAAGACACCUCUGAGGACUCUUUCACCUCCAACUGCUAGAGGCUGCACUUCCAAUUGCUACCACUGAAGAACUGAGGAUGCUCUGAGCCAUCCCCACUCCUGCCAGCAGCUCUCAGAUCCAGCAGUUAACCUACUAUUUAAGAUGCACAUCUUGAUUUCUUUUCACAGCCCGCUCAGUCACAUUUUGCAGUUUUGACUAGGAGAUAGCACCCUACGUGCAAGAAUUAGGUCAGGUCACACCAUUUAAUAAAGCUAUCAUGAACGAUGUGAGCACUACAUACAAAAGGGAAGAGGAGUCACACAGCUGUACUCUUUGUGGCAUGAAAUCAUGCAGCUUCCACUUGGGUAGGGACCUUUUUGAUGUCACAGGGUGAAGGAUUAAGUCAUAAUUAUGUAGAUCUAAAUUACCUUCCAGCAAACCCACUGGCGAUUCUUCAUUAACAUCGCAGCAGGCUUUAAUUCCAGCAUAAGACUGAUCACCCUUCAGCUCUCUGACAUCCAGCCCACAGAAUAUGUUUGGAAUUAAGCAGGGACUUUGUUUGAAAAGAACAUCAGGUGCUGUUUCUCUACUUUUGUCUCAGACUUGAGUUUGAUUAGCAAGUGUGCAUCCUCCUUUCAUGUUGGUACAUGGGAUGCGUGUUUGACCUCACUGCCCCAAGCUCACAACACUGGAAUCUGAGAACCCACUAGUUAUUAGGGACCUUAGUAUCACUGGUCACCUCAGUUUUCAUCAGAAGGCAGUAAAACUCCAGGUCAGGUUACUUUCAGGAAUUUUUAUGACUAAGAUGGCCAACUGAUAUGACCAUGAACGUUUUCUAGGCCCAAAUCAUACUCAGAAUCAGAGCUCUGACAUCUUAGUGUCUUUUCCAUGCACGUUGAAAUAACCAGGAGGAGAGGCUUAGGGAUAAAAGGGAUCUGCUAGCAACUUGGAUGUUUCCAUCUCAUUUCAGGUUGUGGAGGUUGAUCCUCAGUCAAUGUGCAGGAUCUUUAGGAUUGGUUAGUUGACUCUUGGUUUGGGUCACCCAGAAGCUUGUCUCAGCAAAGACUGUCUUUGAGCCAAAACAUCUCCAUCUUCUAGGGUAACCAAGGAGAUUGGUUCCCAGUGUUAGGCAGGAUAAAACAGCCUUGUUUUAGGGGAAUGUAGGACAGUCCUUGUAAGCAAUAGAUGGUGAGAUCUGCUUUUCUCCAUUGAGGAGGGAGCUAGGCUUUCUUAUACACAUCUUUCAGGACUGGUUAUCCAUAGACUUUUUAAAAUCUGUAACAGGGGAUAUUAUUCACUUAAAUCAGGUAAUAUUUAGCAGCUGACUAAAGCACAGAGGAGAUAACAGAGUUGAGAGGGACAGUCUUGGCCGGUAGAUCUCCAAACAGAAUUAGCUAGUGGACUUAAAAAAAGGGAGAUAUUGCCAGGUCUCGCUAUAGGCCUAUGAAGUCAACAUCUGCAGUGGUUCUUUAAGCUUCCAUGAGGCUUAAUUUUAGUUGUAGCAGCUCUCCUAAUUCUUCUAUGUGUUUUCUUGUCUCCGUUUGUUAUUUUUAUCUUAGCUUGUUUAUGGAUAUAUGUCAUAAUUCCAGUCCACUUCAAAUUCUUUCUGGAAAACAGAUGAUGGUGGUAGUGGUAGGUGUCAAGUUAUAAGUAAUUUGAAAACAGAAGUCAUCCACAAAAAUCCUCUACCCACUAGAUAAGGAAAUCACAUUCAUCAUCUGUGAUAAAUGACCAUUUAUCUUUGCUUGAAAUCUUUAAGUGAAAAGCAGCUCACUACUUUAAAAUGUGACCUAUUCCACUGUGGACUGCUUUCACUAUAUAAAGUUCUUCCUUGUAUUGAAACAGAAGUAGCUUCCUGGUAACAUUCCUCUAUUGGUCUUAAUUCUUUCCUUUGAUUAUUUUAGAGGAUUUUUCCUCCUAGCGUUUAUUCGUGUGAAAUGAAUAAGAGAAACCUGAUUAAAUUGGAGUCAGGAAGGCCUGCAGGGGGAGUUCUCACACCCUAUCAUACAUCGUCAAUUACUCCAAACAGGAAGAGACUUAUGCUGGCAUCUCCAACAGG